GACGAACGCUGGCGGCGUGCUUAACACAUGCAAGUCGAACGCUGAAGCUCAGCUUGCUGGGUGGAUGAGUGGCGAACGGGUGAGUAACACGUGAGUAACCUGCCCUCUUCUUUGGGAUAACGCCCGGAAACGGGUGCUAAUACUGGAUAUUCACUGCUUCUCGCAUGGGGGUUGGUGGAAAGGUUUUUUCUGGUGGGGGAUGGGCUCGCGGCCUAUCAGCUUGUUGGUGGGGUGAUGGCCUACCAAGGCUUUGACGGGUAGCCGGCCUGAGAGGGUGACCGGUCACAUUGGGACUGAGAUACGGCCCAGACUCCUACGGGAGGCAGCAGUGGGGAAUAUUGCACAAUGGGCGAAAGCCUGAUGCAGCGACGCCGCGUGAGGGAUGGAGGCCUUCGGGUUGUAAACCUCUUUCGCUCAUGGUCAAGCCGCAGCUUUGGGUUGUGGUGAGGGUAGUGGGUAAAGAAGCGCCGGCUAACUACGUG
This 482-nucleotide ribosomal RNA is filed under the name uncultured bacterium. RNAcentral's name for it is "partial 16S ribosomal RNA". It matches the Rfam family "Bacterial small subunit ribosomal RNA", at positions 28 to 507 of the family's 1533-position model. The record is from RNAcentral.